CGGUGUAAAACACACAGACAGGAUGUUCCAACAGAAUAAUAGAAGAAUAUCACCAAGUAUAGGGUAAACCGCGUAUACAGGUUAUUCCAACAGAAUAAUAAGCAAUGGAAUAACAACAGUUCUCUUGAUGAAUAAGAAAGAAUAACACCCCUUACAUUACUAGGAGAUUGAAUACUGCAGUAGUAUAGUAACAGAAUAC
RNAcentral lists this long non-coding RNA (199 nucleotides) under Panax ginseng (ginseng). RNAcentral's name for it is "long non-coding RNA (PGIN_LNC017115)". The record is from RNAcentral. Lineage: Eukaryota; Viridiplantae; Streptophyta; Magnoliopsida; Apiales; Araliaceae.